This 30-nucleotide non-coding RNA is filed under the name Rattus norvegicus (Norway rat). The record is from RNAcentral. Lineage: Eukaryota; Metazoa; Chordata; Mammalia; Rodentia; Muridae.
UUGCCUGGCUGACCUCAAGACUUUGAAGGA